AAGAAUAUGAAGGGGUUUUUGGAUUCAGUGUCUCCCACACCAGCAGAAAUCCUCGGCCAGGGGAGGAAAAUGGAAAAGGGCUGAAUUGUCUCCCAAUGCUUCUGGGGGCUACAUUACUUCCUGUAGCAGACGUCCUGUCCUCUGAGACAUCUAAAGGUGUAGAUUUGGUUUCCAUUAUUGGUUGUAAUUGGUUAUUACUGAUUAUUGGCAUAUCUAAUGUGAUGAGAGAGUAAUGGGGGUUACUUUCAUCUUUCUAAAACAUAAAACUUUGUUAGCGAAUUACAUUUCAGGUCAUAAUUACAAAGAUAUGAUUGUGGACAUCACAUGUUCUCUCUGAGAUGAAUACCAGUGUGCACUUUGGAGUAAAAAAGCCUUUGAA
Molecule: long non-coding RNA, 379 nt
Organism: Sinocyclocheilus rhinocerous
Lineage: Eukaryota; Metazoa; Chordata; Actinopteri; Cypriniformes; Cyprinidae
Exons: 3
Source: RefSeq, a predicted model, not a curated record